AGAACGAACGCUGGCGGCAUGCCUAACACAUGCAAGUCGAACGCUCUUGGGGCUUCGGUCUCAGGGGAGUGGCGCACGGGUGAGUAGCGCGUGGGAACCUGCCCUGUUGUGGGGGAUAACCGAGGGAAACUUCGGCUAAUACCGCAUAAGCCGGUUGUCUUGAAGGAGAUGGCCGGGAAAGAUUUAUCGCGACAGGAGGGGCCCGCGUCGGAUUAGCUAGUUGGUGGGGUAACGGCCCACCAAGGCGGUGAUCCGUAGCUGGUCUGAGAGGAUGAUCAGCCACACUGGGACUGAGACACGGCCCAGACUCCUACGGGAGGCAGCAGUGGGGAAUAUUGGACAAUGGGCGCAAGCCUGAUCCAGCAAUGCCGCGUGAGUGAUGAAGGCCUUAGGGUUGUAAAGCUCUUUCGCCCGCGACGAUGAUGACGGUAGCGGAGAAGAAGCCCGGCUAACUCGCGCCAGCAGCCGCGGUAA
Molecule: ribosomal RNA, 474 nt
Filed under: uncultured bacterium
Lineage: Bacteria
Description: SSU rRNA
Rfam family: Bacterial small subunit ribosomal RNA
Source: RNAcentral